Molecule: ribosomal RNA, 435 nt
Filed under: uncultured Geobacillus sp.
Lineage: Bacteria; Bacillati; Bacillota; Bacilli; Caryophanales; Anoxybacillaceae
Description: bacterial SSU rRNA
Rfam family: Bacterial small subunit ribosomal RNA
Source: RNAcentral
AACGCGAAGAACCUUACCAGGUCUUGACAUCCCCUGACAACCCUAGGGAUAGGGCGUUCCCCUUUCGGGGACAGGGUGACAGGUGGUGCAUGGUUGUCGUCAGCUCGUGUCGUGAGAUGUUGGGUUAAGUCCCGCAACGAGCGCAACCCUUGACCUUAGUUGCCAGCAUUCAGUUGGGCACUCUAAGGUGACUGCCGGCUAAAAGUCGGAGGAAGGUGGGGAUGACGUCAAAUCAUCAUGCCCCUUAUGACCUGGGCUACACACGUGCUACAAUGGGUGGUACAAAGGGCAGCGAAACCGCGAGGUGGAGCGAAUCCCAAAAAACCACUCUCAGUUCGGAUUGCAGGCUGCAACUCGCCUGCAUGAAGCCGGAAUCGCUAGUAAUCGCGGAUCAGCAUGCCGCGGUGAAUACGUUCCCGGGUCUUGUACACACCG